Molecule: ribosomal RNA, 525 nt
Filed under: uncultured bacterium
Lineage: Bacteria
Description: bacterial SSU rRNA
Rfam family: Bacterial small subunit ribosomal RNA
Source: RNAcentral
UGGGGGAUAUUGCACAAUGGAGGGAACUCUGAUGCAGCGACGCCGCGUGAGUGAAGAAGUAUUUCGGUAUGUAAAGCUCUAUCAGCAGGGAAGAUGAUGACGGUACCUGACUAAGAAGCCCCGGCUAACUACGUGCCAGCAGCCGCGGUAAUACGUAGGGGGCAAGCGUUAUCCGGAUUUACUGGGUGUAAAGGGAGCGCAGGCGGUUUGGCAAGUUGAGAGUGGAAGCAGGGGGCUCAACCCCUUGACUGCUCCCAAAACUGUUAAACUUGAGUAUGGGAGAGGCAGGCGGAAUUCCUAGUGUAGCGGUGAAAUGCUUAGAUAUUAGGAAGAACACCGGUGGCGAAGGCGGCCUGCUGGACCAAAACUGACGCUGAGGCUCGAAAGCGUGGGUAGCAAACAGGAUUAGAUACCCUGGUAGUCCACGCUGUAAACGAUGAAUACUAGGUGCUGGGAGGCAUAAGCCUUUCGGUGCCGUCGCAAACGCAUUAAGUAUUCCACCUGGGGAGUACGUUCGCAAGAAUG